This 253-nucleotide ribosomal RNA is filed under the name uncultured bacterium. RNAcentral describes it as "partial 16S ribosomal RNA". It matches the Rfam family "Bacterial small subunit ribosomal RNA", at positions 524 to 776 of the family's 1533-position model. The record is from RNAcentral.
UACGGGGGGGGCAAGCGUUGUUCGGAAUCACUGGGCGUAAAGGGCGCGUAGGCGGCUUUAUAAGUCGGGGGUGAAAGCCUGUGGCUCAACCACAGAAUUGCCUUCGAUACUGUAGAGCUUGAGACCGGAAGAGGUAAGUGGAACUGCGAGUGUAGAGGUGAAAUUCGUAGAUAUUCGCAAGAACACCAGUGGCGAAGGCGGCUUACUGGUCCGGUUCUGACGCUGAGGCGCGAAAGCGUGGGGAGCAAACAGG